Molecule: non-coding RNA, 115 nt
Organism: Clostridium tetanomorphum DSM 665
Lineage: Bacteria; Bacillati; Bacillota; Clostridia; Eubacteriales; Clostridiaceae
Source: Rfam
UAAUAUCUUCAGGGCGGGGUGUGAUUCCCCACCGGCGGUAAAGCCCGCGAGCCGAAAGGCAUGAUUCGGUUAAAUUCCGAAGCCGACAGUAAAGUCUGGAUGAAAGAAGGUAUGA